CCCUUAGAUGUUCUGGGCCGCACGCGCGCUACACUGACGAAUGCAACGAGCUUAUAACCUUGGCCGAAAGGUCUGGGUAAUCUCCAAAUUUCGUCGUGAUGGGGAUAGAUUAUUGCAAUUAUUAAUCUUCAACGAGGAAUGCCUAGUAAGCGCAAGUCAUCAGCUUGCGUUGAUUACGUCCCUGCCCUUUGUACACACCGCCCGUCGCUCCUACCGAUUGAAUGGUCCGGUGAAAUCUUCGGAUCUGAGAGAUGUCUGAUUAAUUUCGGACGCCUUUUGGAAAAGUUGUUUAAACCUUACCAUUUAGAGGAAGGUGAAGUCGUANCA
This 327-nucleotide ribosomal RNA is filed under the name uncultured eukaryote. RNAcentral describes it as "partial 18S ribosomal RNA". It matches the Rfam family "Eukaryotic small subunit ribosomal RNA", at positions 1470 to 1796 of the family's 1831-position model. The record is from RNAcentral.